This 1506-nucleotide ribosomal RNA is filed under the name Triticum aestivum (bread wheat). Its description in RNAcentral is "partial small subunit ribosomal RNA". Lineage: Eukaryota; Viridiplantae; Streptophyta; Magnoliopsida; Poales; Poaceae. The record is from RNAcentral.
AUGGUUAUACCAGGUCUACUGAAGUCUCUUGAUUCACCAGUUCAACCACCAAAGUCUCUCGAUUCACCGCUGCAGACGGUUAAACAAGUUCAACCACCGAAAUCUCUAGAUUCACUGGUCCAGAUGGUUGGAUCGAUGCAACUAUCGAAAUCUACAGAAUCCAAGAGCGCUUCGAGUGGCUCUGGAGCUGCAGGGUCUGAUUUAGGAGCUGCUCCAUUUGAUAUAUGCAUGGGUAACAGCAAAGGCACUGUCAUUCUCAAACACGGCCUCCUUGAGAUCAAUAGAGAGAAACGCCGUGCAAAGGAGCUUUCAGACAUUGCUCCAGUGCAACAUUUGAGACCUGGGAUGGUUUUAUUGAAAAACUUCUUAAAGCCUGAUGACCAGGUUAAAAUCAUCAAGCAUUGUCGAGAUCUUGGUGUUGGCCCAGGAGGAUUUUAUCAACCUGGGUACAGAGAAGGUGCUAAGUUAAGUCUACGGAUGAUGUGCUUAGGGAAGAACUGGGACCCAGAUUCAGGCUCAUAUGGGGAUAUACGACGUUUUGAUGCUGCUCAACCACCAAAGAUACCAGAAGAAUUGACUAAGUACGUGAAAGAUGCCAUUGCAGCUUCCCAUGAAUUCUUAAAACAAAGAGGCAAGGGAGCUACCAAUCCUGAUGCAGAACUUCCUGUGAUGUCACCCGACAUCUGCAUUGUUAACUUCUACACCACUAGCGGGAAGUUAGGUUUUCAUCAGGACAAUAAUGAACAGAGAUCUAGCCUUGCCAGGGGACUGCCUGUUGUUUCCUUUUCAUUGGGCGACACUGCAGAAUUCUUGUAUGGCGAUGUCAGAGAUGAUGAUAAGGCUUCAAAGAUUAAACUUGAAUCUGGUGAUGUUCUGAUAUUUGGUGGUCAAUCAAGGCACAUAUUCCAUGGGGUCUCCAGCAUUGCACCGAAAAGUGCACCGCUCUGGGUGACCAACAAGGCAAAUCUUCGACCCGGGCGUCUGAACCUCACAUUCAGGCAAUACAAUUACAAAGGGUCAGUCAACGUCACACCUGCUCCAUUUGAUACAUGCGUAUGUGACAACAAUACUGCUCCAUUGCAACAUCUGAGACCUGGGAUGGUUCUGUUGAAAAAGUUCUUGAAGGCCAAUGAUCAGGUUGAAAUUUUCAAACUUUGCCAUAAUCUUGGUGUUAAUGCAAGAGAGUGUUUGUGCUUAGGGAAGAAAUGCGAUCAAUAUUCCAACUCUUAUGGAGAUAUGCGUCCAUUUGAUGGUGCUCAACCUGAUAUCCCUAAAAUAUUCAAGAAGCUCGUGGAAGAUGCCAUUGAAGCCUCCCAUGAAUUCCUGGAGCAAAGAGGGGGUACUUCCAAUCCUUUGGUAGAGCUUCCUCCAAUGUCACCAGAUAUGUGCACUGUUAGGUUCGACACAUUAUCCCGACAAUUGUUCUUCGUCAGGUACAAAAGAACCGCUUUCUCCAGUAGCGUGCUUUUCGUCUUGCCACUAGCCUUUGAUGUCCAUCGACUGUAA